RNAcentral lists this ribosomal RNA (490 nucleotides) under uncultured bacterium. RNAcentral's name for it is "partial 16S ribosomal RNA". It matches the Rfam family "Bacterial small subunit ribosomal RNA", at positions 30 to 507 of the family's 1533-position model. The record is from RNAcentral.
AUUGAACGCUGGCGGCAUGCUUUACACAUGCAAGUCGGACGGCAGCACAGAGAAGCUUGCUUCUUGGGUGGCGAGUGGCGAACGGGUGAGUAACAUAUCGGAACGUACCGAGCAGUGGGGGAUAACUAAUCGAAAGAUUAGCUAAUACCGCAUAUCUUCUGAGGAAGAAAGCAGGGGACCAUUUGGCCUUGCGCUGUUUGAGCGGCCGAUAUCUGAUUAGCUAGUUGGUGGGGUAAAGGCCUACCAAGGCGACGAUCAGUAGCGGGUCUGAGAGGAUGAUCCGCCACACUGGGACUGAGACACGGCCCAGACUCCUACGGGAGGCAGCAGUGGGGAAUUUUGGGCAAUGGGCGCAAGCCUGAUCCAGCCAUGCCGCGUGUCUGAAGAAGGCCUUCGGGUUGUAAAGGACUUUUGUCAGGGAAGAAAAGGGCGGGGUUAAUACCCCUGUCUGAUGACGGUACCUGAAGAAUAAGCACCGGCUAACUACGUG